AGGGUGCUUGGGAUUAAUGUGUGCCCUGUGAGUACUAGAUUUCAUGGCCCCAUCACUUUCUGAAUAUCCUGAGGACCCUUCAAUCUGCCAUUCAAGAACCUGUUACCUGGCUCACUUUAUUGGUCUCCUCCAGUGUCUCCUACAUUUUCUAUUCAGCCAGUGCCCAGGGAGAAAAGAGGCAAACUACCUGACCUGGGUACUGGGAUCAAUUUAAGUCCUCUGUAAAAGCAGCACAUGCUCUUAAUCUCUGAACCAUCUCUCUAGCC
This is a non-coding RNA of Cricetulus griseus (Chinese hamster), 266 nucleotides long. NCBI's taxonomy places the organism in Eukaryota, Metazoa, Chordata, Mammalia, Rodentia, Cricetidae. The record is from RefSeq and is a predicted model, not a curated record.